CCUUCGGGGCCUCGCGCCUAGAGAGGAGCCUGCGGCGGAUUAGGUAGUUGGUGAGGUAAUGGCUCACCAAGCCUGCGAUCUGUAGCCGGCCUGAGAGGGCGGUCGGCCACACUGACACUGACAUACGGGUCAGACUCCUACGGGAGGCAGCAGUCGGGAAUUUUGGGCAAUGGGCGCAAGCCUGACCCAGCAACGCCGCGUGGAGGAUGAAGUUUUUCGGAAUGUAAACUCCAUAAGAAUGGGAAGAAUAAGCAGGGACUAAUACCCCCUGUGGUGACGGUACCAUUUGUAAGCUCCGGCUAACUCCGUGCCAGCAGCCGCGGUAAUACGGGGGGAGCAAGCGUUGUUCGGAUUUACUGGGCGUAAAGGGCGCGUAGGCGGCCACGACAAGUCAGUUGUGAAAUCUCUGGGCCCAACUCAGAGCGGCCAACUGAUACUGUCGGGCUAGAGUGCGGAAGGGGCAACUGGAAUUCUCGGUGUAGCGGUGAAAUGCGUAGAUAUCGAGAGGAACACCUGCGGCGAAGGCGGGUUGCUGGGCCGACACUGACGCUGAGGCGCGAAAGCCAGGGGAGCGAACG
This 578-nucleotide ribosomal RNA is filed under the name uncultured soil bacterium. Its description in RNAcentral is "bacterial SSU rRNA". It matches the Rfam family "Bacterial small subunit ribosomal RNA", at positions 202 to 774 of the family's 1533-position model. The record is from RNAcentral.